GCCCAUGUAGCUCAGUCGGCAGAGCACUUCCUUGGUAAGGAAGAGGUCACCGGUUCAAAUCCGGUCAUGGGCUCCA
This 76-nucleotide transfer RNA is filed under the name Megalodesulfovibrio paquesii. RNAcentral describes it as "tRNA-Thr". It matches the Rfam family "tRNA". From Rfam's summary of the family: Transfer RNA (tRNA) molecules are approximately 80 nucleotides in length. Their secondary structure includes four short double-helical elements and three loops (D, anti-codon, and T loops). The record is from RNAcentral. RNAcentral also lists the same sequence under 3 other names. Lineage: Bacteria; Pseudomonadati; Thermodesulfobacteriota; Desulfovibrionia; Desulfovibrionales; Desulfovibrionaceae.